GGCGAACGGGUGAGUAACGCGUGGGUAACCUGCCCCUGAACCUGGAAUAACUUCGCGAAAGCGAGGCUAAUACCGGAUAUUGUCCCAGGGACCUUGGUCCUUGUGAUGAAAGAUGACCUCUUCACGAAAGUUGUCGUUCAGAGAGGGGCCCGCGUACCAUUAGCUAGUUGGUAGGGUAAUGGCCUACCAAGGCGAGGAUGGUUAGCUGGUCUGAGAGGAUGACCAGCCACACUGGCACUGAAACACGGGCCAGACUCCUACGGGAGGCAGCAGUGAGGAAUUUUGCGCAAUAGGGGAAACCCUGACGCAGCAACGCCGCGUGAGUGAAGAAGGCCCUCGGGUCGUAAAGCUCUGUCAAGUGGGAAAAAAGCUUGCUGGUAAAUAGCCAGUAAGACUGAUGGUACCAUUGAAGGAAGCACCGGCUAACUCCGUGCCAGCAGCCGCGGUAAUACGGAGGGUGCAAGCGUUGUUCGGAAUUACUGGGCGUAAAGGGCGUGUAGGCGGUGUGGUAUGUCAGAUGUGAAAGCCCUGGGCUUAACCCA
RNAcentral lists this ribosomal RNA (542 nucleotides) under uncultured delta proteobacterium. RNAcentral's name for it is "bacterial SSU rRNA". It matches the Rfam family "Bacterial small subunit ribosomal RNA", at positions 97 to 616 of the family's 1533-position model. The record is from RNAcentral. Lineage: Bacteria; Deltaproteobacteria.